This is a long non-coding RNA of Panicum virgatum (switchgrass), 1121 nucleotides long. RefSeq lists it as uncharacterized. The record is from RefSeq and is a predicted model, not a curated record. The transcript is spliced from 3 exons. NCBI's taxonomy places the organism in Eukaryota, Viridiplantae, Streptophyta, Magnoliopsida, Poales, Poaceae.
CAAUCGACAACGGACCCGCCGCACCGCUAGACCAUCCCCACGUGGUGCGUCCCGGCCGAUUUGGCGUUGAAUCCAAACAGACAGCGCUCGCCCCCACUUCUGGCGCCGUCGCCCUGUCACAAGAGCCGGUCGCACCUCUGAUCGCCGGCGGAUUUCAGCAUUGCAAUCUAUGGAGGCGUGCCCUCGCUGUUAUACCAGCAACCUCAAGAAUCACUGGAAACAGGAACCAGUCUUUCACAAGCACUCUCCUCAACGGGCGAAUCUGCACAGAAGCAGGAGCGGUCUGGUCGGUGACGCCUUCUACGAAUGCCAGUCUAUCGGAGAGAUUGUUGUUGUGGUUCUCGACGGAUCUGCUUCGAUGAGCUGACGGUAUGACUGACUGCAAGUAAUUGAGGUGGAGAGGGUGCGCGGCUGCCGUGGCUUCGUCUCUAGGCCGGUCUGCACCCUAGUGCCCUAAAUUUGAAAUCUCUCACUAACGAUGCCAUGUUUUCCACUAGUAGAGUAGUUUCAUAAAUUAGAUUCGUAUUUUCUACUUACUGAAGUACUAUUUCCACAAUUUUAGAGAAGUAUUUUAACAAUUUUGAGUAAUAUUUUUCACAACAUAGAGUAGUAUUUUAUUCCUACUCAAGUAGUACUUUCCACAAUUUAGAGAAAUAUUUUUAUAAUUUUGAGUAGUACUUUUUAUAAUAUGGAGUAGUAUUUUUUAUGCUUUAUAGUAGUUCAAAACUUGUGACUCAUGAGACCAUGAGGUCAUGCUGCCCAUUUGUGCAGGUAGCGUACAUGUCAGUGCCCUCUGCAGGGGAUUGAUGCAUGAUUCUUAAGGCGGAAAUCAAAUAGCAUACAGUUGUUUUUUGCAAGAUCUGAAACCAAAUCCCCAAUUCCUUUUGGCUGCCGAUUCAUAACAAUUCUUUUAUGUUUAGAAUUGAUCUCGAAUUUUGAUAUACUACAAUUCUGAACCUUUUUAUUUCACGCAUGGAAGUUGUUAUUCCAUACAUGAGUAUCAUGCCUAGAAGUAAUUUUAAAUGUUCAGAGAAGUAAUGCAUAUAUUAGAGUAGUCAUAUUUGAUCCCUUCCAUUGUUGUACUCUGAUCAAGACUAAUUAUAAAUGUUUAAGGUAAUUCA